This 853-nucleotide long non-coding RNA is filed under the name Homo sapiens (human). Its description in RNAcentral is "non-protein coding lnc-SYCE1L-3:1". Lineage: Eukaryota; Metazoa; Chordata; Mammalia; Primates; Hominidae. The record is from RNAcentral.
CAGUAUAAGAAGUGUCCAGAUGAUCAAUAUCAGAAUAGUCAGAGAAUUUACUGUCUUCCAAAGGAUGUGAACUUCUUGGCUUUUGAAGGCCCUUUGGGGAUGUCUCUGGCCUGCACAGCCCUGCCUCUCUGUCCUUACUGCAGUGGUCCUUGGGGUAUUUGUGAAGCAGCAGGAAAUCCCCUCGGUUAAAGCCAGUACAUGGGCUUUCAGCUGCACCCUGCUGAAAGUCUGGCCUCCGUCACACUGUGCUUCCUCUGCUCUGCCCUAUGCAUUGGCCACCCCCACACAGCUACGUGGUGACUCCAACAAAUAGCAUUUGGAGUUGUGUUUACUAUGGCUAUUUCUAUCAUUCUGACCAAAACCAUCACUGUAGUUCUGGCUCUGAAGGCCAGAAUGCCAGGGAGAAUAAGAUGGUGAUUGGUAUCAGGAUCUCCUAAUUUUGCCCUUUUUAUAUUCUCCCUAAUCCAAGUGGAAUCUGUCUCCUGAUCUGUCAGCUCGGGCUGAGAAACUUUCCUCCCUUCAUUGACACAGACACACUCUCUAAGCUUGGAUCUGUAGUUCUCACACGCAGUGAGGUUUCAGCACUGUCUUCUACCAUGUCCUAGGAUACCUGGGCUCCUUGACCCUGGGGAGCUUUACCUUGGCUUUCCUGGCCAUGGGUUUGCCUGACACCUUCAAUAAGUCAAGUUCUUGAUGUUCAGCAUGCUGGUGUUCUGCAGUCACCUCCCUCCUUGCCGACCACAGCAUCAAGGGGAAGGUCCUGGAAGCCAUGGGGUUCUUCUUCAUCUUAGCUUUCAGUGCUGAGCUACUUGGCUGCAUCUUUGCCCCCAUAUAUUACGUUACUCUUAUGAGA